GAGCGAACGCUGGCGGCAGGCUUAACACAUGCAAGUCGAGCGGGCGUAGCAAUACGUCAGCGGCAGACGGGUGAGUAACGCGUGGGAACAUACCUUUUGGUUCGGAACAACACAGGGAAACUUGUGCUAAUACCGGAUAAGCCCUUACGGGGAAAGAUUUAUCGCCGAAAGAUUGGCCCGCGUCUGAUUAGCUAGUUGGUGAGGUAACGGCUCACCAAGGCGACGAUCAGUAGCNGGUCUGAGAGGAUGAUCAGCCACAUUGGGACUGAGACACGGCCCAAACU
RNAcentral lists this ribosomal RNA (284 nucleotides) under uncultured bacterium. Its description in RNAcentral is "partial 16S ribosomal RNA". It matches the Rfam family "Bacterial small subunit ribosomal RNA", at positions 27 to 337 of the family's 1533-position model. The record is from RNAcentral.